This 494-nucleotide ribosomal RNA is filed under the name uncultured Desulfobulbus sp. RNAcentral's name for it is "bacterial SSU rRNA". It matches the Rfam family "Bacterial small subunit ribosomal RNA", at positions 891 to 1382 of the family's 1533-position model. Lineage: Bacteria; Pseudomonadati; Thermodesulfobacteriota; Desulfobulbia; Desulfobulbales; Desulfobulbaceae. The record is from RNAcentral.
GCUCAGAAACUUAAAGGAAUGACGGGGCCCGGCACAAGCGGUGGAGUAUGUGGUUAAUUCGAUGCAACGCGAAGAACCUUACCUGGUCUUGACAUCCCGGAGACCCUUAGGAAACUAGGGGUGCUUCCAUCUGGAAGAAUCUGGAGACAGGUGCUGCAUGGCUGUCGUCAGCUCGUGUCGUGAGAUGUUGGGUUAAGUCCCGCAACGAGCGCAACCCUUGCCUUUAGUUGCCAGCAGUUCGGCUGGGCACUCUAAAGGGACUGCCGGUGUUAAACCGGAGGAAGGUGGGGAUGACGUCAAGUCCUCAUGGCCUUUAUGACCAGGGCUACACACGUACUACAAUGGCCGAUACAAAGGGCAGCGACACUGCGAGGUGAAGCCAAUCCCGUAAAAUCGGUCUCAGUCCGGAUUGGUGUCUGCAACUCGACUCCAUGAAGUUGGAAUCGCUAGUAAUCGUGGAUCAGCAUGCCACGGUGAAUACGUUCCCGGGCCUU